RNAcentral lists this ribosomal RNA (1245 nucleotides) under Candidatus Phytoplasma trifolii. RNAcentral's name for it is "bacterial SSU rRNA". It matches the Rfam family "Bacterial small subunit ribosomal RNA", at positions 160 to 1401 of the family's 1533-position model. Lineage: Bacteria; Bacillati; Mycoplasmatota; Mollicutes; Acholeplasmatales; Acholeplasmataceae. The record is from RNAcentral.
CUGCUAAGACUGGAUAGGAAACAAAAAGGCAUCUUUUUGUUUUUAAAAGACCUUCUUAUGAAGGUAUGCUUAAAGAGGGGCUUGCGCCACAUUAGUUAGUUGGUAGGGUAAAAGCCUACCAAGACGAUGAUGUGUAGCUGGACUGAGAGGUUGAACAGCCACAUUGGGACUGAGACACGGCCCAAACUCCUACGGGAGGCAGCAGUAGGGAAUUUUCGGCAAUGGAGGAAACUCUGACCGAGCAACGCCGCGUGAACGAUGAAGUAUUUCGGUAUGUAAAGUUCUUUUAUUGAAGAAGAAAAAGUAGUGGAAAAACUAUAUUGACGUUAUUCAAUGAAUAAGCCCCGGCUAACUAUGUGCCAGCAGCCGCGGUAAGACAUAGGGGGCGAGCGUUAUCCGGAAUUAUUGGGCGUAAAGGGUGCGUAGGCUGUUAGAUAAGUCUAUAAUUUAAUUUCAGUGCUUAACGCUGUCUUGUUAUAGAAACUGUCUUGACUAGAGUGAGAUAGAGGCAAGCGGAAUUCCAUGUGUAGCGGUAAAAUGUGUAAAUAUAUGGAGGAACACCAGAAGCGUAGGCGGCUUGCUGGGUCUUUACUGACGCUGAGGCACGAAAGCGUGGGUAGCAAACAGGAUUAGAUACCCUGGUAGUCCACGCCGUAAACGAUGAGUACUAAGUGUCGGGGUAAAACUCGGUACUGAAGUUAACACAUUAAGUACUCCGCCUGAGUAGUACGUACGCAAGUAUGAAACUUAAAGGAAUUGACGGGACUCCGCACAAGCGGUGGAUCAUGUUGUUUAAUUCGAAGAUACACGAAAAAUCUUACCAGGUCUUGACAUACUCUGCAAAGCUAUAGAAAUAUAGUGGAGGUUAUCAGGGAUACAGGUGGUGCAUGGUUGUCGUCAGUUCGUGUCGUGAGAUGUUAGGUUAAGUCCUAAAACGAGCGCAACCCUUGUCGUUAAUUGCCAGCACGUAAUGGUGGGGACUUUAGCGAGACUGCCAAUUAAACAUUGGAGGAAGGUGAGGAUUACGUCAAAUCAUCAUGCCCCUUAUGAUCUGGGCUACAAACGUGAUACAAUGGCUGUGACAAAGAGUAGCUGAAACGCGAGUUUUUAGCCAAUCUCAAAAAAGCAGUCUCAGUUCGGAUUGAAGUCUGUAACUCGACUUCAUGAAGUUGGAAUCGCUAGUAAUCGCGAAUCAGCAUGUCGCGGUGAAUACGUUCUCGGGGUUUGUACACACCGCCCGUCAAA